AACGAACGCUGGCGGCAUGCCUAAUACAUGCAAGUCGAACGAGAUCUUCGGAUCUAGUGGCGCACGGGUGCGUAACGCGUGGGAAUCUGCCCUUGGGUUCGGAAUAACUUCUGGAAACGGAAGCUAAUACCGGAUGAUGACGUAAGUCCAAAGAUUUAUCGCCCAAGGAUGAGCCCGCGUAGGAUUAGCUAGUUGGUGGGGUAAAGGCCCACCAAGGCGACGAUCCUUAGCUGGUCUGAGAGGAUGAUCAGCCACACUGGGACUGAGACACGGCCCAGACUCCUACGGGAGGCAGCAGUAGGGAAUAUUGGACGAUGGGCGAAAGCCUGAUCCAGCAAUGCCGCGUGAGUGAUGAAGGCCUUAGGGUUGUAAAGCUCUUUUACCCGGGAUGAUAAUGACAGUACCGGGAGAAUAAGCUCCGGCUAACUCCGUG
Molecule: ribosomal RNA, 433 nt
Filed under: uncultured bacterium
Lineage: Bacteria
Description: partial 16S ribosomal RNA
Rfam family: Bacterial small subunit ribosomal RNA
Source: RNAcentral